CUACAUCACGUUGAAACAUUGGUUCCCAUACGAUCAACGAAGUUAAGCAACGUCGAGCUUGGUCAGUAAAAAGAUGCGUGACCGUUUGGGGAUACCAGGUGAUGUAA
Acanthosepion pharaonis is the source of this 107-nucleotide non-coding RNA. Lineage: Eukaryota; Metazoa; Mollusca; Cephalopoda; Sepiida; Sepiidae. The record is from the annotation of a GenBank genome assembly.